RNAcentral lists this transfer RNA (73 nucleotides) under Thiohalorhabdus denitrificans. It matches the Rfam family "tRNA". Rfam says of the family: Transfer RNA (tRNA) molecules are approximately 80 nucleotides in length. Their secondary structure includes four short double-helical elements and three loops (D, anti-codon, and T loops). Lineage: Bacteria; Pseudomonadati; Pseudomonadota; Gammaproteobacteria; Thiohalorhabdales; Thiohalorhabdaceae. The record is from Rfam by way of RNAcentral.
GCCGCCGUAGCUCAGCUGGCAGAGCAAUCGAUUCGUAAUCGAUAGGUCGGGUGUUCGAAUCACCCCGGCGGCA